Manduca sexta (tobacco hornworm) is the source of this 1106-nucleotide long non-coding RNA. RefSeq lists it as uncharacterized. The transcript is spliced from 3 exons. The record is from RefSeq and is a predicted model, not a curated record. NCBI's taxonomy places the organism in Eukaryota, Metazoa, Arthropoda, Insecta, Lepidoptera, Sphingidae.
UCUUGAUAACCAUUUGUUUGGGAGCAUGACAAUAGCAUUUGGUCGCCGUUUAUUCAAAAACAAUAUUCGUCACUGAGACAUCGUGAAACUGGCUUUUAAUAAGCCUGUCAGUAGUCGCGCCUCUUACCAUACCGGACACUAAUCCAGACUCCGGGGGUGAUGCUGAGCAGAAAAACAAUAAUGUCAUUCUAUCGGACCCGGGACCACAGAUGUCGUACGCACACAACACAAUUACGCCACCGAAUCAGUAGUAAUUAUUAAAACAUAUUCAUACUGUAUCAGCCAGCAUAGAUAAUAGAGGUGAAGAGGUCUUAUAUAAGCCGCGGUUGCGCGUUGAUAGGUAAUAACACGGUUUCAUUUCGCGACUCAAACAUGAGGCUGUGGGUGUUGUUCUUCGCUUUUCUGUUGUGUCUCGCCGUCUCUAUGGCGGACUGCCCAGCCGGGGAAUACAAUCCGGGACCGGACUGCAGUUUCGAGACAAUCUGCGGGUUGAGAAGUAGUCACAGCUAUAGGAGACAUUACUGCGACUGCUGGUGCACACCUCCUCUCAUCAGGGACACGUCUACUAACACUUGCGUGCUACCAGACCAAUGUCCCAAUUAGAUAACUGAUACUAUAUAUUUAAUCCGGUUUUGUGUUACGAGCGGAUGCUAUAGUCUUUAUGAGGUUUUUGAUGAUUGAAUACACGUAUCGAUAUUACCUUUAUUUUAAAAUAAUUGUAAAGUUUUAUUUGACUACGAUUCUCACUAAAAAUCGACUUUUUAUUAUGAGGUAUUUCUAAAUGUGAUAUAGAGAUUAAAUCUGUGGGAAUCACUCAGAUGAGGAAGUUGAUAUGAUACUAGGUAGGUACUUAAUUUUGUUUAUGUGUUUUCUAUUGGAAGGUAAUAAAUAAUGUUAAGAAUUAAUCAUUUUAUGUAAAACAUUUAAUUUCAAUUAUUAUAAGAUAUGUUGUUGCUUCUAUCUUUUAUCAGAAUAAUUAAAGAGUGAUUAGUUGUCUUCUACCUUUUGCUGAAUACGUUUGGUUUGUGGUAAAAAAAUGUUUUUCUAAUCCCUUCACACUGGUGUUGGUCUUAACUAUUGUUUUCAAUACAUUUGAUUGUUGCAAA